GGCGUGGCUGCAUUAAAACCGAAUUGUUUUACGCACACGAGCCUUCUUAGUGCUUGAAUGGGAAGUGGAGCACUUGGACAUGGAAAGGGUGCUCAUUGUCAAAUAAUUCACAUGGGUUUUCAUUAUUACCGCCACAUUGAAAAUGCUCUCAUUGCCAUGUAUUCCAAGUGUGGGGCACUUGACGAUGCCUUGUUCAUAUUUGAAAGUAUGCAGCGAAGGGAUUUUGUCACUUGGAACUCUAUGAUCGCAGAGUAUGCGCAGCAUGGGCAUGCACAAGAGGCAAUUUCUCUUUAAGAGAUGAUGAAUCAAGGUGUUAAUCCGGAUGAAGUUACUUACCUUGGCAUAUUGUCCUCGUGUUGGCAUGCUGACCUUGUUAAGGAGGGUCAAGAUUACUUAAAUUCCAUGAUUGAGCAUGGCAUGGAGCCAGAAAUGGAUCAUUACUCUUGCAUUGUGGGUCUUCUUGGUCAGGCUGGCUUGCUGCUGGAGGCUUGUGAUUUCAUCCGAAACAUGCCUAUUUGUCCCAAUGCUGUGAUAUGGGGUUCACUGCUUUCAUCAUCUAUGCUUCAUGGAGAUGUUUGGAUUGGCAUCGAAGCGGCAGAGAGUAGGUUAUUACUUGAACCAAGGUGCCCUGCAACACUUCAACAGCUGGCCAAUCUAUAUGCUAGCGUGUAGGUUGGCGGAAUCAGGUAGCACGAGUGUGAAAGUCACUGAAAGACAAAGGUCUGAAAUCGAAUCCUGGUUGUAGUUGGAUUGAAGUCAAAAGCAGAGUUCAUAGAUUUGAAGCACAAGAUAAGUCAAACAACAAAAUGACUGACAUUCUUUUGAUCAUGGGUAAUUUGAAUGAGCACAUGAGUAGUUUAGGUCUUUAGUCUCAGAUCUCUGGUGAGGAAAAUGUUUGGUCUUCAUAAUGCUAAAUGAGGAUCUCCAUUAUAGGGCUGUUCGCAUUUCUGGCAUUGACUCGCAGUCUAGAUUCCAUGCAUUUUUUGUCAGUAAAACAUACAUGGAUGACAAGACAUUCUAGAUGAAGUACAAGCAAAAUGGACGGUGAAAAUCUUCCUUUCAUGCAAAGAUGUUUUACAAGACUUUUCCUUCAUUCAAAGGAGAUUAUGUGCAGAUUUGGUAAAGUCUGGUUCAGUUCCUUGAGAGUUUAAACAGCGCUUUGAAGCUAAAAGACCGCCGCUAUCUGUUGGAUUUGGUGCAGUGGAUGAAGAAGAUUUAUGCCUAUAAGCAUCCACAAAUACUUUGAAGUUUAAACAAUUUUUUUGUGGCAGGUUUAUUGAAUGCUGCAGGAUCAACCAUGAACAUCAGAUGCUACUGGUGUUCUAGAUAUAGCAA
Arachis ipaensis is the source of this 1335-nucleotide non-coding RNA. The record is from RefSeq and is a predicted model, not a curated record. Lineage: Eukaryota; Viridiplantae; Streptophyta; Magnoliopsida; Fabales; Fabaceae.